GUGUAUAAUGGCAGUCAUCGAGGGGUUAAGCGGUUUAUUAAUAGUAUUCUGUGUAUAAUGGCAGUCAGCGAGGGGUUAAGCGGUUUAUUGAUGGUUUUCUUGCUUAGAAGAAGAUGGUCAGAGAUGAUGAUCUGUCAGCAUUAUCGACUUACUGACUGGCUGCUUUUAAAGGCUCCCAGGAGAAUGGGGAAUUAACCCCUGGCUGGCCAGAAGGUUCACACCGAGCAAGCGGACAACUUACUCUUCU
Molecule: non-coding RNA, 247 nt
Organism: Pelobates cultripes (western spadefoot toad)
Lineage: Eukaryota; Metazoa; Chordata; Amphibia; Anura; Pelobatidae
Source: the annotation of a GenBank genome assembly